GCUCUGCAGCAAAUGAUUGAAGAUGGCAGAGAUACAAAUGCAGAGCCCUUUCUGGGACACAAAGGACUCCUCUGAUAGCUGCCUCCUCUGUCUCUGGUCUAAGGACUUCCCAUUGGCCUUAGGAACCCAGAAGAGCUAUUGCCCAAAUUAAUAUGAAAAUGUAGAAGCAAGUUGCAUUUAAAGGAUAUACUUUGGGAGACACAGUGAUGCACCAAGCAGAUCUCUCUUCAAAGAAGGACUUACUGCCUUAGCUUACAGUAGUGUUACAGGCGUUGAUUACAAGAGCACUCUGUAAUAAACCUUCUGCUUAAUGAACAUCAUCUGAGUCUGUUUCCCAAGGAACCCAACCUAUAAUAGAUUGCAUUUCCUUGUGGAAAGGGACGGUGACCAUCAUGCAACACAAUGCCAUGUUCAUAAUUAACACUCCUUAAAUAUUUUUGUAAUAAAUACAUAUGAGCAUAAAUG
Long non-coding RNA from Canis lupus familiaris (dog), 465 nucleotides. RefSeq lists it as uncharacterized. The record is from RefSeq and is a predicted model, not a curated record. Lineage: Eukaryota; Metazoa; Chordata; Mammalia; Carnivora; Canidae. The transcript is spliced from 4 exons.